GGGGAUGUGGCUCAGUGGUAGAGUGUUUGCCUGGCAUGCAUGAAGGCUUGGGUCUGAUCCUCAGCACCCCCC
This 72-nucleotide transfer RNA is filed under the name Ictidomys tridecemlineatus (thirteen-lined ground squirrel). Its description in RNAcentral is "Spermophilus tridecemlineatus (thirteen-lined ground squirrel) tRNA". It matches the Rfam family "tRNA". From Rfam's summary of the family: Transfer RNA (tRNA) molecules are approximately 80 nucleotides in length. Their secondary structure includes four short double-helical elements and three loops (D, anti-codon, and T loops). Further hydrogen bonds mediate the characteristic L-shaped molecular structure. tRNAs have two regions of fundamental functional importance: the anti-codon, which is responsible for specific mRNA codon recognition, and the 3' end, to which the tRNAs corresponding amino acid is attached (by aminoacyl-tRNA synthetases). tRNAs cope with the degeneracy of the genetic code in two manners: having more than one tRNA (with a specific anti-codon) for a particular amino acid; and 'wobble' base-pairing, i.e. permitting non-standard base-pairing at the 3rd anti-codon position. Lineage: Eukaryota; Metazoa; Chordata; Mammalia; Rodentia; Sciuridae. The record is from Rfam by way of RNAcentral.